GAUGAACGCUGGCGGCGUGCUUAACACAUGCAAGUCGAACGGGAAUUACUUUAUUGAAACUUCGGUCGAUUUAAUUUAAUUCUAGUGGCGGACGGGUGAGUAACGCGUGGGUAACCUGCCUUAUACAGGGGGAUAACAGUCAGGAAUGGCUGCUAAUACCGCAUAAGCGCACAGAGCUGCAUGGCUCAGUGUGAAAAACUCCGGUGGUAUAAGAUGGACCCGCGUUGGAUUAGCUUGUUGGUGGGGUAACGGCCCACCAAGGCGACGAUCCAUAGCCGGCCUGAGAGGGUGAACGGCCACAUUGGGACUGAGACACGGCCCAGACUCCUACGGGAGGCAGCAGUGGGGAAUAUUGCACAAUGGGGGAAACCCUGAUGCAGCGACGCCGCGAGAAGGAAGAAGUAUUUCGGUAUGUAAACUUCUAUCAGCAGGGAAGAUAGUGACGGUACCUGACUAAGAAGCCCCGGCUAACUACGUGCCAGCAGCCGCGGUAAUACGUAGGGGGCAAGCGUUAUCCGGAUUUACUGGGUGUAAAGGGAGCGUAGACGGUGUGGCAAGUCUGAUGUGAAAGGCAUGGGCUCAACCUGUGGACUGCAUUGGAAACUGUCAUACUUGAGUGCCGGAGGGGUAAGCGGAAUUCCUAGUGUAGCGGUGAAAUGCGUAGAUAUUAGGAGGAACACCAGUGGCGCAGGCGGCUUACUGGACGGUAACUGACGUUGAGGCUCGAAAGCGUGGGGAGCAAACAAGAGUAGAUACCCUGGUAGUCCACGCCGUAAAC
RNAcentral lists this ribosomal RNA (778 nucleotides) under uncultured bacterium. RNAcentral's name for it is "bacterial SSU rRNA". It matches the Rfam family "Bacterial small subunit ribosomal RNA", at positions 28 to 807 of the family's 1533-position model. The record is from RNAcentral.